Molecule: long non-coding RNA, 213 nt
Filed under: Mytilus galloprovincialis (Mediterranean mussel)
Lineage: Eukaryota; Metazoa; Mollusca; Bivalvia; Mytilida; Mytilidae
Source: RNAcentral
GGUGUCUUGUAUGUUGUUUCGUCGUUUCACGUUUUAUACCAUAAAAAAAACCUAAAGAUAUUUGUACCCACCAUCCAGUAACGUUGACCACUUGUUAUGUACCAAGCGUUUUCUAAUUCUAGAUUUAUUUUUUAGUUUUAAGUUUGAAGUCUACCAUGAGAAAUAUUUGUUUUAAGGUUUGAGAAGUUUUAUUUCUUUUUGCAGAGAAGAAAC